AGGCCUCGAAAGUUCACAUCUAACUACUGGGUGGUCCGAUUCUGAGUGAUCUCGAAGUUUCUUGCCCACAGAAGCCGAACGGCGAUGCCCAGACUCGGUUUCCUGGUUCCGUCCCAAAACGCCGAAGAAAGGCACAAUGGCCUAGAAAGGAACGACCGGACUUAGAACGGCCUCGAAAGUUCACAUCUAACCACUGGUUGGUCCGAUUCUGAGUGAUCUCGAAGUUUCUUGCCCACAGAAGCCGAACGGCGAUGCCCUAGACUCGGUUUCUUGGUUCCGUCCCAAAACGCCGAAGAAAGGCACAAAGGCCUUGAAAGGAACGACCGGACUGAGAACGGCCUCGAAAGUUCACAUCUAACCACUGGGUGGUCCGAUUCUGAGUGAUCUCGAAGUUUCUUGCCCACAAAAGCCGAACGGUGAUGCCCCAGACUCGGUUUCUUGGUUCCGUCCCAAAACGCCGAAGAAAGGCACAAUGGCCUAGAAAGGAACGACCGGACU
RNAcentral lists this long non-coding RNA (498 nucleotides) under Cucumis sativus (cucumber). RNAcentral's name for it is "long non-coding RNA (CSAT_LNC003085)". The record is from RNAcentral. Lineage: Eukaryota; Viridiplantae; Streptophyta; Magnoliopsida; Cucurbitales; Cucurbitaceae.